This 236-nucleotide ribosomal RNA is filed under the name uncultured bacterium. Its description in RNAcentral is "partial 16S ribosomal RNA". The stretch from base 139 to 236 matches the Rfam family "Bacterial small subunit ribosomal RNA", at positions 904 to 1000 of the family's 1533-position model. The record is from RNAcentral.
CUACUCCUCGUGUGUCGUCUUCCGCCCACCACUAGUGGAUACGUAGUGGUUGUUGUAUGUACCGACCGGACCGAGCGUCGCGACACGUACGUAGUUACUCCUCCGGCGGGUAGGUACGCACGACAGUAGUAGAACAACAAGUAAGUAGCGGNGGGCCCGNACAAGCGGUGGAGUAUGUGGUUUAAUUCGAUGCAACGCGAAGAACCUUACCAGGACUUGACAUGUCGACGCGGCCG